This 71-nucleotide ribosomal RNA is filed under the name Pseudomonadota bacterium. RNAcentral's name for it is "Proteobacteria bacterium (freshwater metagenome) partial 16S ribosomal RNA". It matches the Rfam family "Bacterial small subunit ribosomal RNA", at positions 1 to 69 of the family's 1533-position model. The record is from RNAcentral. Lineage: Bacteria; Pseudomonadati; Pseudomonadota.
UUUAAUUGAAGAGUUUGAUCAUGGCUCAGAUUGAACGCUGGCGGUAGGCUUAACACAUGCAAGUCGUGCGA